RNAcentral lists this ribosomal RNA (508 nucleotides) under uncultured bacterium. RNAcentral's name for it is "bacterial SSU rRNA". It matches the Rfam family "Bacterial small subunit ribosomal RNA", at positions 791 to 1304 of the family's 1533-position model. The record is from RNAcentral.
UAGUCCACGCCGUAAACGAUGGAUACUAGUUGUUGGAUUUUCGGAUUCAGUGACUAAGCGAAAGUGAUAAGUAUCCCACCUGGGGAGUACGGUCGCAAGAUUGAAACUCAAAGGAAUUGACGGGGGCCCGCACAAGCGGUGGAGCAUGUGGUUUAAUUCGAUGAUACGCGAGGAACCUUACCAGGGCUUAAAUGUAAGUUGCAUAGAGUAGAGAUAUUCUUUUCUUCGGACUACUUACAAGGUGCUGCAUGGUUGUCGUCAGCUCGUGCCGUGAGGUGUCAGGUUAAGUCCUAUAACGAGCGCAACCCCUACCGUUAGUUGCCAGCAUGUAAAGAUGGGGACUCUAGCGAGACUGCCGGCGCAAGCCGCGAGGAAGGUGGGGAUGACGUCAAAUCAUCAUGGCCUUUAUGCCCAGGGCUACACACGUGCUACAAUGGACAGGACAAAGGGUCGCCAAACCGCGAGGUGGAGCUAAUCCCAGAAACCUGUUCUCAGUUCGGAUUGAAGU